RNAcentral lists this small nuclear RNA (105 nucleotides) under Panthera leo (lion). RNAcentral's name for it is "U4 spliceosomal RNA (ENSPLOG00000003869.1)". It matches the Rfam family "U4 spliceosomal RNA". From Rfam's summary of the family: U4 small nuclear RNA (U4 snRNA) is a component of the major U2-dependent spliceosome. The structure of U4 snRNA from yeast and human has been reported. U4 snRNA presents a k-turn RNA motif in the 5p-SL related to recognition of Snu13 protein. RNAcentral also lists the same sequence under 1 other name. Lineage: Eukaryota; Metazoa; Chordata; Mammalia; Carnivora; Felidae. The record is from Rfam by way of RNAcentral.
GGCUCUGCGCGGGGGCAGUAUUGUAGCCAACGAGGUUUAUCCGAGGCGCAAUUAUUGCUAAUUGAAAACGCUUCUCAUUUUGUAAUUUCUGAAUUAUGUAAAUAU